Molecule: transfer RNA, 74 nt
Filed under: Anaerolineae bacterium
Lineage: Bacteria; Bacillati; Chloroflexota; Anaerolineae
Description: tRNA-Ala
Rfam family: tRNA
About the family: Transfer RNA (tRNA) molecules are approximately 80 nucleotides in length.
Source: RNAcentral
GGGGCCGUAGCUCAGUUGGGAGAGCGCUUCAAUCGCACUGAAGAGGCAGUGGGUUCGAAUCCCAUCGGCUCCAC